RNAcentral lists this ribosomal RNA (632 nucleotides) under Salmonella enterica. RNAcentral's name for it is "partial 23S ribosomal RNA". It matches the Rfam family "Bacterial large subunit ribosomal RNA", at positions 2259 to 2885 of the family's 2925-position model. Lineage: Bacteria; Pseudomonadati; Pseudomonadota; Gammaproteobacteria; Enterobacterales; Enterobacteriaceae. The record is from RNAcentral.
UGGUGGGUAGUUUGACUGGGGCGGUCUCCUCCUAAAGAGUAACGGAGGAGCACGAAGGUUGGCUAAUCCUGGUCGGACAUCAGGAGGUUAGUGCAAUGGCAUAAGCCAGCUUGACUGCGAGCGUGACGGCGCGAGCAGGUGCGAAAGCAGGUCAUAGUGAUCCGGUGGUUCUGAAUGGAAGGGCCAUCGCUCAACGGAUAAAAGGUACUCCGGGGAUAACAGGCUGAUACCGCCCAAGAGUUCAUAUCGACGGCGGUGUUUGGCACCUCGAUGUCGGCUCAUCACAUCCUGGGGCUGAAGUAGGUCCCAAGGGUAUGGCUGUUCGCCAUUUAAAGUGGUACGCGAGCUGGGUUUAGAACGUCGUGAGACAGUUCGGUCCCUAUCUGCCGUGGGCGCUGGAGAACUGAGGGGGGCUGCUCCUAGUACGAGAGGACCGGAGUGGACGCAUCACUGGUGUUCGGGUUGUCAUGCCAAUGGCACUGCCCGGUAGCUAAAUGCGGAAGAGAUAAGUGCUGAAAGCAUCUAAGCACGAAACUUGCCCCGAGAUGAGUUCUCCCUGAGACUUUAGGUCUCCUGAAGGAACGUUGAAGACGACGACGUUGAUAGGCCGGGUGUGUAAGCGCAGCGAUGCG